CGAACUUCCGUUAAUUGAUUAUGACGUACUUGUACUGAUUGAGAUUUUAACACGAAGUGAGUGGCGAACGGGUGAGUAACACGUGGGUAACCUGCCCAGAAGUAGGGGAUAACACCUGGAAACAGAUGCUAAUACCGUAUAACAGAGAAAACCGCAUGGUUUUCUUUUAAAAGAUGGCUCUGCUAUCACUUCUGGAUGGACCCGCGGCGUAUUAGCUAGUUGGUGAGGUAAAGGCUCACCAAGGCAGUGAUACGUAGCCGACCUGAGAGGGUAAUCGGCCACAUUGGGACUGAGACACGGCCCAGACUCCUACGGGAGGCAGCAGUAGGGAAUCUUCCACAAUGGACGCAAGUCUGAUGGAGCAACGCCGCGUGAGUGAAGAAGGGUUUCGGCUCGUAAAGCUCUGUUGUUAAAGAAGAACGUGGGUAAGAGUAACUGUUUACCCAGUGACGGUAUUUAACCAGAAAGCCACGGCUAACUACGUGCCAGCAGCCGCGGUAAUACGUAGGUGGCAAGCGUUAUCCGGAUUUAUUGGGCGUAAAGCGAGCGCAGGCGGUCUUUUAAGUCUAAUGUGAAAGCCUUCGGCUCAACCGAAGAAGUGCAUUGGAAACUGGGAGACUUGAGUGCAGAAGAGGACAGUGGAACUCCAUGUGUAGCGGUGAAAUGCGUAGAUAUAUGGAAGAACACCAGUGGCGAAGGCGGCUGUCUGGUCUGCAACUGACGCUGAGGCUCGAAAGCAUGGGUAGCGAACAGGAUUAGAUACCCUGGUAGUCCAUGCCGUAAACGAUGAUUACUAAGUGUUGGAGGGUUUCCGCCCUUCAGUGCUGCAGCUAACGCAUUAAGUAAUCCGCCUGGGGAGUACGACCGCAAGGUUGAAACUCAAAAGAAUUGACGGGGGCCCGCACAAGCGGUGGAGCAUGUGGUUUAAUUCGAAGCUACGCGAAGAACCUUACCAGGUCUUGACAUCUUCUGACAGUCUAAGAGAUUAGAGGUUCCCUUCGGGGACAGAAUGACAGGUGGUGCAUGGUUGUCGUCAGCUCGUGUCGUGAGAUGUUGGGUUAAGUCCCGCAACGAGCGCAACCCUUAUUACUAGUUGCCAGCAUUAAGUUGGGCACUCUAGUGAGACUGCCGGUGACAAACCGGAGGAAGGUGGGGACGACGUCAAAUCAUCAUGCCCCUUAUGACCUGGGCUACACACGUGCUACAAUGGAUGGUACAACGAGUCGCGAAACCGCGAGGUUAAGCUAAUCUCUUAAAACCAUUCUCAGUUCGGACUGUAGGCUGCAACUCGCCUACACGAAGUCGGAAUCGCUAGUAAUCGCGGAUCAGCAUGCCGCGGUGAAUACGUUCCCGGGCCUUGUACACACCGCCCGUCACACCAUGAGAGUUUGUAACACCCAAAGCCGGUGGGGUAACCUUUUAGGAGCUAG
RNAcentral lists this ribosomal RNA (1430 nucleotides) under Pediococcus pentosaceus. RNAcentral describes it as "bacterial SSU rRNA". It matches the Rfam family "Bacterial small subunit ribosomal RNA". Lineage: Bacteria; Bacillati; Bacillota; Bacilli; Lactobacillales; Lactobacillaceae. The record is from RNAcentral.